Molecule: long non-coding RNA, 618 nt
Organism: Peromyscus eremicus (cactus mouse)
Lineage: Eukaryota; Metazoa; Chordata; Mammalia; Rodentia; Cricetidae
Exons: 3
Source: RefSeq, a predicted model, not a curated record
UCUACCUGGUUUGGGCCUUCUGGUCCGUGAGGCCAAUUUGCUUGUUAUUAGUUCUCAGCCUGUGGGUCUCCAUCCCUUUGGGGGUUGAAUGACCCUUUCACAGGGGUCACCUAAGACCAUGGAAAACACAGAUAUUUACACUGUGAUUCCUAACAGUAGCAGAAUGGCAGUCACGGAGCAGUAAUGAGAUAAUUUUGUGGUUGGAGAUCACCACAUGAGGAACUGUAUUAAAGGAGGCUUGGGAACCACUGGAUUGAGUGAUCCUGAGGAAAGGCCGUUUCCAUUCCAGCUCUAGAGCCCACACUGUGGCAUCGGCUUUGGUGUUAUUUUCCUGGGAGGUGAUUAUGCCCUCAGAGGAAGAGCUAACUGAAACUCUGAUAAGUGCUUGUGAGUCACUCCCUGGCCUCUGAAGCUUCUAGCCUGAGUUUCAGAGGGUGAGUCCAUUAUCGUCAUGGAGCGGAGUAUGGCAACAAGCAGGUGCUGGAGCAGGAGCUGAGACCUUCAGUGUUGAGACAACAACCAUGAGACACUCAUCUCAGUCCACUGCUUGUGACAGCCACACAAGACACUUUAAGGCAGCAUCAGAAAGCAGCAAAAUGGCCAUUCCUAGGAGAAGGU